RNAcentral lists this ribosomal RNA (370 nucleotides) under uncultured bacterium. Its description in RNAcentral is "bacterial SSU rRNA". It matches the Rfam family "Bacterial small subunit ribosomal RNA", at positions 525 to 896 of the family's 1533-position model. The record is from RNAcentral.
ACGUAGGGUGCGAGCGUUAAUCGGAAUUACUGGGCGUAAAGCGUGCGCAGGCGGUUUGAUAAGCCAGAUGUGAAAUCCCCGGGCUUAACCUGGGAACUGCAUUUGGAACUGUCAGACUAGAGUAUAGCAGAGGGGGGUAGAAUUCCACGUGUAGCAGUGAAAUGCGUAGAGAUGUGGAGGAAUACCAAUGGCGAAGGCAGCCCCCUGGGUUAAUACUGACGCUCAUGCACGAAAGCGUGGGGAGCAAACAGGAUUAGAUACCCUGGUAGUCCACGCCCUAAACGAUGUCAACUAGGUGUCGGGAAGCAAUUCCUUGGUAACGAAGCUAACGCGUGAAGUUGACCGCCUGGGGAGUACGGCCGCAAGGUUA